RNAcentral lists this ribosomal RNA (380 nucleotides) under Clostridioides difficile. Its description in RNAcentral is "partial 23S ribosomal RNA". It matches the Rfam family "Bacterial large subunit ribosomal RNA", at positions 1069 to 1456 of the family's 2925-position model. Lineage: Bacteria; Bacillati; Bacillota; Clostridia; Peptostreptococcales; Peptostreptococcaceae. The record is from RNAcentral.
AAGGAUGUGGGAUUGCACAGACAACCAGGAUGUUGGCUUAGAAGCAGCCACUCAUUCAAAGAGUGCGUAAUAGCUCACUGGUCGAGUGAUCCUGCGCCGAAGAUUUCCGGGGCUAAAACUUACUACCGAAGCUACGGCAUCAGUAAUGAUGGGUAGGGGAGCUUCCCAUACGGGUUGAAGCAUGACCGUAAGGACAUGUGGACAGUAUGGGAGUGAGAAUGUUGGCAUGAGUAGCGAGAUGUGGGUGAGAAUCCCACAGGCCGUAAACCCAAGGUUUCCAGGGGAAGGUUCGUCCGCCCUGGGUUAGUCGGGACCUAAGCUGAGUCCGAAAGGCGUAGGUGAUGGACAACAGGUUGAUAUUCCUGUACUACCGAUAACCG